CCUACGGGGGGCAGCAGUGAGGAAUAUUGGUCAAUGGGCGCGAGCCUGAACCAGCCAAGUAGCGUGAAGGAUGAAUGCCCUACGGGUUGUAAACCUCUUUUAUAAAGGAAUAAAGUGAGGGACGCGUCCCUUUUUGUAUGUACCUUAUGAAUAAGGAUCGGCUAACUCCGUGCCAGCAGCCGCGGUAAUACGGAGGAUCCGAGCGUUAUCCGGAUUUAUUGGGUUUAAAGGGAGCGUAGAUGGGUUGUUAAGUCAGUUGUUAAAGUUUGCGGCUCAACCGUAAAAUUGCAAUUGAAACGGGCAGUCUUGAGUACAGUUGAGGUAGGCGGAAUGCGUGGUGUAGCGGUGAAAUGCUUAGAUAUCGCGAAGAACUCCGAUUGCGAAGGCAGCUUACUAAACUGCCACUGACAUUGAUGCUCGAAAGUGUGGGUAUCAAACAGGAUUAGAGACCCUAGUAGUC
RNAcentral lists this ribosomal RNA (460 nucleotides) under uncultured bacterium. RNAcentral describes it as "partial 16S ribosomal RNA". It matches the Rfam family "Bacterial small subunit ribosomal RNA", at positions 338 to 795 of the family's 1533-position model. The record is from RNAcentral.